CUCGCGCGAGAUAGUGACAGGGAAUAUCAAAGCGGGACUCUUCGAGUCUUGCUGUUGGAAUGAGAACAAAUUAAAACCUUUAACGAGGAUCAAUUGGAGGGCAAGUCUGGUGCCAGCAGCCGCGGUAAUUCCAGCUCCAAUAAGGAACAUUAAAUUUGUUGCAGUUAAAAAGCUCGUAGUUGAAUUUCUGCGCGUCGUCGUUAAGCAGGAUCGAAGCAAUUCGUUCCUCGUCUUAACCGCGCGCAUGCUCGCGUUGACUCUUUAUAGUUUACUCUGUAAUGUAGAAGACGCGUCUUUUACUGUGAACAAAACGAAGCGUUCAUGGCAGGCUUUGAGCUUGAACGAAUCGCACGGAAUAAUGAAAACGGUCUUGUUCGUUUUCGUUGGUUCGCGAAUGAGGUUAUUGGUUAACAGGAACAGUUGGGGGUAUUCGUACUUCAACGCUAGAGGUGAAAUUCUUGGAUUGUUGAAUGACGAACGACUGCGAAGGCAUUUACCAAGGAUGUUUUCAUUAAUCAAGAACGAAAGUUUGGGGAUCGAAGAUGAUUAGAUACCAUCGUAGUCCAAACAGUAAACGAUGCCGACUCGGGAUCCGAGCGUGUUGAUUUAUGACCGCUCGGGCACCGUAUGAGAAAUCAAAGUCUUAGGGUUCCGGGGGGAGUAUGGUCGCAAGGCUGAAACUUAAAGGAAUUGACGGAAGGGCACACAAGAGGUGGAGCCUGCGGUUUAAUUUGACCCAACACGGGGAAACUUACCAGGCCCAGACAUGACGAGGAUUGACAGUUUGAAAGCACUUUCUUGAUUUUAUGGGUGGUGGUGCAUGGCCGUUCUUAGUUGGUGGAGUGAUUUGUCUGGUUGAUUCCGAUAACGAACGAGACCCGGGCUGCUAAAUAGUGAUCCAUUACAUUUUGUAGUGCAGACGCUUCUUAGUGGGACAACUUGGUUUUACCAAGCGGAAGCACCGGGCAAUAACAGGUCUGUGAUGCCCUUAGAUGUUCUGGGCCACACGCGCGCUACAAUGACGGGUUCAACGAGUUUUUUCCUUGCUCGGAAGGGCUAGGUAAUCUUCUCAAUGCUCGUCGUGAUGGGGCUAGAUUUUUGCAAUUAUUAAUCUUCAACGAGGAAUCUCUAGUAUGUGCGAGUCAUCAGCUCGCGCAGAAUGCGUCCCUGCCCUUUGUACACACCGCCCGUCGCAGCUACCGAUUGGAUGGUCCGAUGAAAAGUUUGGAGAUGAUAUUGGCUCGCGAGGGUUGGUUUCGUCAAAGCUCUUUGAAUCUUAUCAUCUAGAGGAAGCUGAAGUCGU
This 1303-nucleotide ribosomal RNA is filed under the name metagenome. RNAcentral describes it as "SSU rRNA". It matches the Rfam family "Eukaryotic small subunit ribosomal RNA", at positions 454 to 1792 of the family's 1831-position model. The record is from RNAcentral.